This is a non-coding RNA of Sesamum indicum (sesame), 1324 nucleotides long. The record is from RefSeq and is a predicted model, not a curated record. NCBI's taxonomy places the organism in Eukaryota, Viridiplantae, Streptophyta, Magnoliopsida, Lamiales, Pedaliaceae.
CUAACACUCUAUAAAUAUGGAAAAUUCGCUGAAAAUGCAAUAGAAAAAAAGCAAGGAAAAACAAAAUUCAUUCGAUCAUUUCUAACGUGCUCAUCAUCUGAGGAUGCUGCAUUCCUCCGCCGACAGCCCCCGCCUCCAGCCUCGGUUUCUUCUUUAUUUAGGUUCUGGUUUAAUUAUUUCAAGGUUCUUGAAAUUCAACUACUAGAUGGGUUCUCUUGUAUGCUGUCGAUUUCUACUCCGGAGGAUAAGGGUGCGGGAUUAAAUGCAAGAAUUGCAGUGGAGGCAUUGAUGUUGGUCCACAACUUGUGAGGAGAAUAGCCAAGACGACUACCAUCAUUGGAGAUUCUCAGGGCUCUUUCCUUUGGUUAUGGUUGUUUUUUUCAUUUGAUUAUAUUCUGUGGUGAUGUUGUGAUUUUGGUUGCUGUAAAGCACUUGGUAUGAAUUUUGCUUGUUUACCUAUUAUCAGUUAUGGCAUGAAGAUAAAAAAUGAGGAGAAAAUUCACACUCGGCUUUUCUGCUCUCACAUCACUAAUUCUUUGUGUUUCUCAACGGAUAUUAUUAUAUUUUUUCUGAACUAAUAAACUGGUCAUGUUUAUCUGUUAUUGGUAUUCACAUCUUGACGCUUCUUUCUUAAAACAGACGUAACUUUGCUUAUUCCACUUGCAUCCUGUGUGUCUUCCAAAUUCGUUGUACAUUUCUAGAUAUUUUUCUAUCAUUUUGCUUUAGUGAUACAUAGAAAAUUCGCUGAAAAUGCAAUAGAAAAAUAACAAGGAAAAACAAAAUUUAAUCGUUCAUUUCUAACGUUGUCAUCAUCUCAGGCUGCAUUCCUCCGCCGACAGCCCCCGCCUCCAGCCUCGGUUUCUUCUUUGUUUAGGUUGUGGGUUAAUUAUUUCAAGGUUCUUGAAAUUCAACUAUUACAUGGGUUCUCUUGUAUGCUGUGGAUUACUACUACGGAGGACAAGGGUGUGAGAUUUAAAUGCAAGAAUGCCAGUGGAGACAUUGAUGUUGGUCCACAACUUGUGAGGAGAAUAGGCAAGACGACUCCCAGUUAACAACUUAAUGCCGGUGGAGAUGAUCUUGCACUAGUUUUCAUGUCCACUCGCUGAUUUGGAGUGUGAACCUUUUGCACCAGUUUUAAUGUCGAUCGGGUUCAAGUAGUUCGAAGUAUGAGCUUGAAGAAACCAGCGACCAUCUUUAUUGAAAAUAAGAAUCAAGUGUAUUUGGUACUUCGGCCUUCUUUGUACUAUGUGAAAAAUUGUUGCCUGCUCCAACGGGUCUGGCUUCUUUCUUAACCAAAGAAAUGAAAAUUUUGAUUCAAAAUCAA